Molecule: non-coding RNA, 257 nt
Filed under: unclassified sequences
Description: ARRPOF RNA
Rfam family: ARRPOF RNA
Source: Rfam by way of RNAcentral
AAAAAUCUUACUAACUAUAUUUGUUUUACUAUUUGUACUCAAGAUUUUAUCUUAAGUACAGCGGCUCUGCUCGAAGCCGUAUAGCGUCAAAAUGACGGUAUUAUGAAUUGUAGCAAGGUGCGGGUCUACCUUUCAAAAGGCUCGGCGGUACUCUGUGCGGGUAUUCUAACAACGAUAUAAUUUAGAAAGUAAGCUAAAUCGGGACUUCUGGGGCGGAGUACAGAAGAAUAGACGAACUAGUCUAUGUUAGAAUAAGU